CUCAGCCCAGUGGAGAGCUGAGCUUUGGUCCCCACCUGGCAGCAGCAAUAGGGUAGAAUAAAGCCAUGCAAGGUGGAAUAAAGCCAUGAAAGGUGGUACAAGAGCUGAAUAUUUUGGAUAUUAAUCUAGGUUUACUUUUGCCAUUGAGGAGACAAAAGCGACUCCAUCUUGGAUGCUAAUCUACCAUGUUAACCUCUGAUGAGCGCCAGUCCCAUGAAUGCCUCCUGAUUCCUACUUUAUUUACUGUCCCUAGGAUGCAUGAUGUUAGACGGUUUAAAUAUGUGCAUAAAUAGAAAAGUACGUUUCUGACAAAGUUGAACAGAAAUUGGAUUGAAAAAUCCUCUUAUCCCAAAGCUGCAGAAUCUUGUGCAGUUUGGUAAAGAAGUCCCGCAUGGUCUGGUCCCUGAAGACAUUUUAAUAUGAGCCAUGACAUUAUGAUGGAUGAAAUCUGGCAUUUUACUGUAGCAAUGCUACUCCCAUGUGGAAAAUAACAGCUUGUUCAAAAGCUGGUCUUUCAGCCAGAUUUAGAAUAUACAGCUUUCUUUAUGUCAAGGCAUCCUUUGUAUGAACAAGUCGAAGUAGAAAGAACUAAUCAGCACUGAAGACUAGAGUGCAAAGAAAUUAUUCAGUGCUCAAAGAAAUCCACCCUAGGCACAAUCACAUUGCAUCGCACAUGCAGAAGAGAGUGGUGAAUUGCAACAAGUUCAGUUGGAAUAAGCACUUGAUAUUCAGAUGCUUAUCGAAACGAUUCAGAUUUCUUAGUACCAUACAACAAG
Molecule: long non-coding RNA, 776 nt
Organism: Symphalangus syndactylus (siamang)
Lineage: Eukaryota; Metazoa; Chordata; Mammalia; Primates; Hylobatidae
Source: RefSeq, a predicted model, not a curated record